GACGAACGCUGGCGGCGUGCCUAAUACAUGCAAGUAGAACGCACAGUUUAUACCGUAGCUUGCUACACCAUAGACUGUGAGUUGCGAACGGGUGAGUAACGCGUAGGUAACCUGCCUGGUAGCGGGGGAUAACUAUUGGAAACGAUAGCUAAUACCGCAUAAUAUUAAUUAUUGCAUGAUAAUUAAUUGAAAGGUGCAAUUGCACCACUACCAGAUGGACCUGCGUUGUAUUAGCUAGUAGGUGAGGUAACGGCUCACCUAGGCGACGAUACAUAGCCGACCUGAGAGGGUGGUCGGCCACCCUGGGACUGUGACCCGGCCCAGACUCCUUCGGGAGGCAGCAGUAGGGAAUCUUCGGCAAUGGGCGAAAGUCUGACCGAGCAACGCCGCGUGAGUGUAGAAGGUUUUCGGAUCGUAAAGCUCUGUUGUAAGAGAAGAACGGGUGUGAGAGUGGAAAGUUCACACUGUGACGGUAUCUUACCAGAAAGGGACGGCUAACUACGUG
RNAcentral lists this ribosomal RNA (505 nucleotides) under uncultured bacterium. RNAcentral's name for it is "partial 16S ribosomal RNA". It matches the Rfam family "Bacterial small subunit ribosomal RNA", at positions 28 to 507 of the family's 1533-position model. The record is from RNAcentral.